RNAcentral lists this ribosomal RNA (492 nucleotides) under uncultured bacterium. RNAcentral's name for it is "partial 16S ribosomal RNA". It matches the Rfam family "Bacterial small subunit ribosomal RNA", at positions 29 to 507 of the family's 1533-position model. The record is from RNAcentral.
AGUGAACGCUGGCGGUAGGCCUAACACAUGCAAGUCGAACGGCAGCACAGUAAGAGCUUGCUCUUACGUGUGUCGAGUGGCGGACGGGUGAGGAAUACAUCGGAAUCUACUUUUUCGUGGGUGAUAACGUAGGGAAACUUCCGCUAAUACCGCAUACGACCUACGGGUGAAAGCAGGGGAUCUUCGGACCUUUCGCGAUGGAAUGAGCCGAUGUCGGAUUAGCUAGUUAGCGGGGUAAAGGCACACCAAGGCGACGAUCCGUAUCUGGUCUGAGAGGAUGAUCAGACAGACUGGAACUGAGAAACGGUCGAGACUCCGACGGGAGGACGCAGUGGGGAAUAUUGGAGGAGGGGGGCAUGCCUGAUCCAGCCAUACCGCGUGAGUGAAGAAGGAGUUCGGGUUGGAAAGCCAUUUUGUUGGGAAAGAAAAGAAGCAGUUUAAUCCCGCACUGUUAUGACGGUACCCAAAGAAUAAGCACCGGCUAACUUCGUG